RNAcentral lists this ribosomal RNA (79 nucleotides) under Bursaphelenchus thailandae. RNAcentral describes it as "partial 28S ribosomal RNA". It matches the Rfam family "Eukaryotic large subunit ribosomal RNA", at positions 1 to 77 of the family's 3401-position model. The record is from RNAcentral. Lineage: Eukaryota; Metazoa; Nematoda; Chromadorea; Rhabditida; Aphelenchoididae.
AAACUACCUGAAUUGCGUAUGAUUACCUGCUGAACUUAAGCAUAUCAGUAAGCAGAGGAAAAGAAACAAACAUGGAUUC